Molecule: non-coding RNA, 87 nt
Organism: Acanthosepion pharaonis
Lineage: Eukaryota; Metazoa; Mollusca; Cephalopoda; Sepiida; Sepiidae
Source: the annotation of a GenBank genome assembly
ACCAGUUCCCAUACAACCACCAAAGUUAAGCAAUGUCAAGCCUGGUCAGUACCUAGAUGGGUGACCAUUUGGAAAUACCAGGUGUGG